RNAcentral lists this ribosomal RNA (1784 nucleotides) under Listeria monocytogenes. RNAcentral describes it as "partial 23S ribosomal RNA". It matches the Rfam family "Bacterial large subunit ribosomal RNA", at positions 1 to 1775 of the family's 2925-position model. The record is from RNAcentral. Lineage: Bacteria; Bacillati; Bacillota; Bacilli; Caryophanales; Listeriaceae.
UUGGUUAAGUUAGAAAGGGCGCACGGUGGAUGCCUUGGCACUAGGAGCCGAAGAAGGACGGGACUAACACCGAUAUGCUUUGGGGAGCUGUACGUAAGCGUUGAUCCAGAGAUUUCCGAAUGGGGGAACCCACUAUCUUUAGUCGGAUAGUAUCCUUACGUGAAUACAUAGCGUGAGGAAGGCAGACCCAGGGAACUGAAACAUCUAAGUACCUGGAGGAAGAGAAAGAAAAAUCGAUUUCCUGAGUAGCGGCGAGCGAAACGGAAAGAGCCCAAACCAAGAAGCUUGCUUCUUGGGGUUGUAGGACACUCUAUACGGAGUUACAAAAGAAAGUUAUAAAUGAAGCGGUCUGGAAAGGCCCGCCAAAGACGGUAACAGCCCGGUAGUUGAAAUGGCUUUCCCUCCAGAGUGGAUCCUGAGUACGGCGGAACACGUGAAAUUCCGUCGGAAUCCGGGAGGACCAUCUCCCAAGGCUAAAUACUCCCUAGUGACCGAUAGUGAACCAGUACCGUGAGGGAAAGGUGAAAAGCACCCCGGAAGGGGAGUGAAACAGUUCCUGAAACCGUGUGCCUACAAGUAGUUAGAGCCCGUUAAUGGGUGAUAGCGUGCCUUUUGUAGAAUGAACCGGCGAGUUACGAUUUGUUGCAAGGUUAAGCGGAAAAAGCGGAGCCGUAGCGAAAGCGAGUCUGAAUAGGGCGCAUAAGUAACAGGUCGUAGACCCGAAACCAGGUGAUCUACCCAUGUCCAGGAUGAAGGUAAGGUAAUACUUACUGGAGGUCCGAACCCACGCACGUUGAAAAGUGCGGGGAUGAGGUGUGGGUAGCGGAGAAAUUCCAAUCGAACUUGGAGAUAGCUGGUUCUCUCCGAAAUAGCUUUAGGGCUAGCCUCGAGGUAAAGAGUCAUGGAGGUAGAGCACUGUUUGGACUAGGGGCCCUUCUCGGGUUACCGAAUUCAGAUAAACUCCGAAUGCCAUGUACUUAUACUCGGGAGUCAGACUGCGAGUGAUAAGAUCCGUAGUCGAAAGGGAAACAGCCCAGACCACCAGUUAAGGUCCCCAAAUAUAUGUUAAGUGGAAAAGGAUGUGGGGUUGCUUAGACAACCAGGAUGUUGGCUUAGAAGCAGCCACCAUUGAAAGAGUGCGUAAUAGCUCACUGGUCGAGUGACCCCGCGCCGAAAAUGUACCGGGGCUAAACAUAUUACCGAAACUGUGGAUGAACCUCUUUAGAGGUUCGUGGUAGGAGAGCGUUCUAAGGGCGGUGAAGUCAGACCGGAAGGACUGGUGGAGCGCUUAGAAGUGAGAAUGCCGGUAUGAGUAGCGAAAGAAGGGUGAGAAUCCCUUCCACCGAAUAUCUAAGGUUUCCUGAGGAAGGCUCGUCCGCUCAGGGUUAGUCGGGACCUAAGCCGAGGCCGAUAGGCGUAGGCGAUGGACAACAGGUAGAGAUUCCUGUACCAGUGCUAAUUGUUUAACCGAUGGGGUGACACAGAAGGAUAGGGAAUCGCACGAAUGGAAAUGUGCGUCCAAGCAGUGAGUGUGAGAAGUAGGCAAAUCCGCUUCUCGCGAAGCAUGAGCUGUGAUGGGGAAGGAAAUUAAGUACGGAAGUUCCUGAUUUCACGCUGUCAAGAAAAGCCUCUAGGAAGAGUAGUACUGCCCGUACCGCAAACCGACACAGGUAGAUGAGGAGAGAAUCCUAAGGUGAGCGAGAGAACUCUCGUUAAGGAACUCGGCAAAAUGACCCCGUAACUUCGGGAGAAGGGGUGCUCUAUUAGGGUGCAAGCCCGAGAGA